This 1584-nucleotide ribosomal RNA is filed under the name Triticum aestivum (bread wheat). RNAcentral describes it as "partial small subunit ribosomal RNA". Lineage: Eukaryota; Viridiplantae; Streptophyta; Magnoliopsida; Poales; Poaceae. The record is from RNAcentral.
AUGGCAGAACCGACCACCACAGAUCUGGCUAAGAUGAUCGAGGCCUUGACGGCCACGGUGAUGUCCCUGCAGUCGUCCGUCACCGCACUCCAGAAGGACAAGUCCUCCUCUUCGUCCAGCGCUGCCGCCGCCCAUGAUGGGCAGCACCACAAUGAUCGGCCGCCCAGGUUCCAGAAGAUGGACUUCCCCAAGUUCGACGGCAAGUCUGAUCCGCUCGCCUUCAUCAACAGAUGCGAGUCCUUCUUCCAUCAACAACGGAUCGCCGAGGAGGAGAAGGUGUGGAUGGCGUCCUACAAUCUCGAGGGUCCUGCCCAACUAUGGUAUAUGCAGGUCCAGCGAGACGAGGGCACACCUCCGUGGCGCCGCUUCUCCGAGCUGCUCAAUCUCCGCUUCGGGCCACCGCUGCGCGCUAACCCGCUGGGCGAACUAAUGGCGUGCAAACGCACGACGUCCGUCGUCGACUUCCAGGAGCGGUUUGAGGCACUCCUUCCCCGGGCAGGCACCUUAUCCGAGACACAGAAAGUGCAGAUCUUCACCGCGGGACUCCAGCCACCCCUCAGCCUCGACGUGGAGAUCCAUAACCCACAGUCCCUCGCCGUCGCCAUGAGCCUCGCCCGCAAAUUGGAGCUGCGCGACCAGUGCGUGCUUUCCGCCGCGCCACCGGUGCGUUUUCCACAGAAGGGCAUCCUGCCGACACCAGGACCACGCCUCGCGCCCCCCGCUCCGGCCCCACCAGCCGCACCUCAGCAGGGCCACAAUCUGCCGGACGGACGCCCAAUCAAGCAUCUCUCCCAGACAGAGAUGGAGGAACGCCGUCGCCUGGGCCUUUGCUUCAACUGUAACGAGAAGUUUGGCAGGGGCCACAACCGCGUGUGCCAGCGCAUCUUUCUCCUCGACUUAGCGCCGGACGACGACGACGACGACGCGGCCUCCGCCACUGAUGAUGCAUCGCGGGCCGACCCUCAAAUCUCGCUCCACGCGAUCGCCGGCGUGCGCACGAGUGAAACCAUGCAGAUGCAGAUUACUCUCGGAGGUGUCUCCCUCCUCGCCCUGAUCGAUUCAGGCUCCACCCACAACUUCAUCGCCGAAGAGGCGGCCGCUCGUGCUACGUUACCGCCCCCCACCACAGAGAAGAUGCGCGUCACGGUGGCCAACGGCGAGCGCGUUCCGUGCCAGGGCGCGUACCGCGUCGUGCCCUUCCGCAUCGGCCACGAGGAGUUCGCGGAGGAUUUCCUCGCCUUGCCGCUCGCGGGCUACGACAUCGUCCUGGGCACGCAGUGGCUGGCGUCGCUCGGACCGAUCCUGUGGGAUUUCCGAGCCCUCUCCAUGACAUUCUGGCGGCGGGGCCAUCGGGUGUGCUGGCACGGCAUUGCAGGACCGGACGUGCCAGCCCUAAAAUCAUGCAGCGGCCGCGACUUCCUGGACGCCAUCAUCACCGAGUUCGACGGCAUCUUCGCCGACCCCUCCGGCAUGCCACCGCCCCGCAGCCGCGAUCACGGCAUCACCCUGCUACCUGGUUCCGCCCCGGUGGCCGUCCGUCCGUAUCGAUACCCGGCCGCGCACAAGGACGAGCUGGAGCGUUAG